CCCAGCCGCUCCCCCUACGCUCGGCCAAGCCUUUGUUUCGGAUCUUCCUUUUUUUUUUUUUUUUUUUUUUUCGUUUUUCCUCUCUCUCUCCCUUCUCUCCCUGCUGGCCCGGCUGUGGCCGCCCCAUCCUCCCCGGCUCGGCCGGGCCACUCGGCCCGUCCCCGACAGGGAGAGGAGGCGCCGGGGGCCCUUGUUGAGUGGGGAAGCGGCUGCUCGGAGCGCCGCGGGGAGGCGGACAUCGCGGCGAGAAACAUCGGCGAGGCGGGGGGAGAGGGAUGGGCGGAAUGUGCCUGCUAAUCAUCCGUGCCCCCUCCCUGCCCUCUGUAAGCGAAGCAUCCCCCGUUCAUUCCCCCUUCACUCCCCCCUUCCCGGCACUUCCAGGCCCUCUGUAUGGGAAUCACGAGCAGGCUCGGUGGAAAAAUCUCCCAUAGUGGCUCCAGAGUGUGUGCUGAAUUUCAAGGUGUGUGUGGGAGGGGGAGGCAGCACCAGCAUUUAUGGAGCUUGGUUACCCUCCCUCCCGCCCUCGUCCCUCUUCUAUAUAUGUGCUGUAAGCAGGCAGGCGCCUUUAUGGCUAAUAAAAACGUGUUUCCCUAUGUAUAGUUAGACUGAGAGCUUGGCACCGGUAAACUGAAAGCCAGUCAGUGCCAGGGAGCAGCCUGCAGAUGAACAAGAAGCUCUGGCAUCCCUGCCCAUGGGUAAGGUAGCCUGGCCGUGUUCACACCGUGCUUCCCAGGAUAAGUCAGCACAGUGACCAUGUAGACUAUUUGUGAUGUGUAUGUUGGACAACAUGGAGUGAGCACUAAUACUAUACCAGCUCCUGUCCGUUGUGUUAUAUGCUGUCUGCAAAACAGAUCGUCAUUUCUCUUGAGAUUUUUGAUCAAGAAGGUUUUUGUCUUCUCUCCAUUGUCUCCCUAAGCACCAGUGUGGAAUGUUGAUGUAACAUUUGCCAGUCUGGCAGUUUUAUGUUUCCAAAAUCCUUUGUGGGAGGUUCAGCAACUGCAGAAACCCACGAUUCCUCUGGCAUCGCAUUUGUUUGUUCCCGUAAAAAUGUUUAAACAUUUCUAUGCUAAAGAAUUGUGCAGUGAUCUGAUCUCAGCAGUUAUUAAGUCUACUUUGGUUUUUAUUGUCUUUUUCUUUAGAAAAAGCAGCACAAUUUUGUUUAGAGAGGAGGGAAGAAAAGGAGUGAAGAAAGGAUGUUAUGGUUAGUAAAGAAAAAAAUGUAUAGUCCACUUCAAGUGUAGUGGCUGUUAAAUACGCAUGAUUCACUAUGCAGUUAUAAAAAUGAAAGGCAUACCAUCUCGCUUCUUUGCCUCAGAACAUACUUUCUCUUACAGCAACAAGUAGCACAGGCUCCUCUCCCUCUCUUCGCUCCCUCUCCCGCCUUCGGUCCAUCCUGAUGAAAUGCCAGUUACAAAGGUCAGCCUGUUUAUGUACAGAUCACUGUGCUUCUUAGCAAAGACUGCUGUACAUCAAGCCUACAAUGUCUAUCAAACAGACUUUUGGAUUCAAGACACUCAAUUAGAGCACUGUCCAUUUUUGAACACUGAUAAAAUCCUAGAGAAAAGAAAAGACAAAGAGACAUAGUGGGUGAGUGGGAUGGAUCAACAGUGCCAAGGUGUGCAUGGGCAGCAAUAUCAUAUUUGUUGCUGCGAACACUGGCAACAUCAAAUGAACCUCUGUGUGUGUGUCUGUACAAAAAGGGACUUGCUGAUAUGCUAAUGCUUUUCUGCUCUUCUCUUUAGGUUUCUUGUUAACCCUAAUGAUGUCUUAGGCUGAACUUGCUUCUGCAGCUGCUUCACACCAAAGGCAGCUUGAAUCAGCCAUGGAGAAUUUUGAGCCUGACCACCCCUCCCUCCCCCCCAGUAAAAGCGAAGAGGUUGACUUCACCAGGCCUUGGCUCAGACCCUUCACAAUUAGGUGCAGUUUUCAUUUCAAAGCACCCAGCUGUGCAAUGGACAUGGAUCUUUGUUUCACUGUGGUCCCUUCCUCUCCCUGCCAGCUUCUUUAAUCUAGAGAGCAGCACAGUUUUGUUUCCUUGACUAGUAUCACCUCCCCUGACCCUUUCCCACUUUAAAUCUAGCAAGUGUAUUGUGAUAUUAUUAAAUUGUAUAUAAAUGCCCAAUAGCUAAGGGUUAAAAAAAGUUGCCUUCAACUAACAACACGGAUCUUCCACUGUGGGCUAUCCAAGAGCUAUCUGCCACCGUAGUUCCCUCUUAGCCCUUAAAAUAGUCCUGAAGCAGAAUUGAAGUGCUAUAGAGGACUAUGAUGCCUUUUGUUUAAUGGUUUUAAUAAUCUAUGGCCUUAUAAUGUAACAUUACAAAAUCUCAUAAUGAGGCAGAACACUGAAGUAACAAACAAUGGAAGAAACUGUACUCAAUCAGGGCAGGAAAUUACACCACCCACUGAAAAUAUUAAAUCCAAACUUGUGAUCAAGGUUAGCCAAGGAGCUGCACAGAACCAUUCCUCCAGCCUUGUGGCCUUGAAUUACAGGUCUUUAGGUUCCUUUAUCCUGUAAAUCUGUGUUAAAUAGCAGUGUAUAUCUGUGUUGGUAAAUGUACUUUUUAACAGCUUAUCCCAUAAUAUUUUAUUUUUUUACUUCAUUUAAUCAGGCUUUUUCUUCCAGAACCUGCUGCAUGCUUCUCUUUAGCUACUGAAAAAUGCAUGUAAUUCGUUAAGCCAGUUCAGCAGUUACCCUUAGUUUGCAACAGGAAAACCUAUUAUGCAAACAAUACUGUCACCUUUUUGAAGUACCUUCCCUCUCCUAGCUCUAAUGAAUUCUCUGCAUGCUACUCUGCUGUAAAUUCUCCAUCUAAAAAUUCCAUCCACUACAUGUUUCGUCAGGGGAAAUUGUACUUGACUUUUGAAACAGGUGGGAGGAGCAAAAUGAUAACCUACUAAAGUGCCUUGCCCUUAACUGAAAUCAUGGCAAAGUAAUUAAAGUUAGAGCAAAAAGUCUUAAACUUUGGACUGCUUAUGUUCUUAGAGUUUUUGCUUAGCUGAUUUUUUUUAGGAGUCUGAUUUGAACGUCAAAUUUGCAUAUUCAGCUAGAAAACAUAGGGAAUGCUUAAUUUCCUAUGUCUGGUAUUCAUAUUUUGCUUUGAAAACAAUGUGUCACAUAUUCCUGGGUUUCAUUUCUAGUUACUAUUUGCAUCUAUAAAUUAAACUGUGCAUCUAAACAAGUGCUAGAUUUGCUCAUUAUGGAAACAAAUGUGUUGUGUUUAGAAUUUUGCUUUAUACACAUAUCUGAGAAAUAUGGAAUCAUAGAACAGACCAGAUUGGAAGGGACCUCAAAAUAUCAUCUGGCCCAACGUUUUGUGGAAAAGCGACCACAGAUAAGAUUACCUAACACCCUACCCAAUCGCAUCUUGAAAACCUCCAGCAAUGGGGACUCCACUAUGGCCCUGGGGAUGUUAUUCCAGUCAAUUAUUGUUCUUACUAAAAAAAAAUUCUUUCUGAUGUUGACAUGAAACUUCUCCCAGCGCAACUACUCUUUGUAGCCACCCUGUAAGUACUGGGACACUAUGACAAGGUCUCCCCAAGACUUCUCUUCUCCAGGGAGAAAAGACCUAACUCCUUCAGUAUUUCCUCACAAGGCAGUUUCUCCAGCCCUUUGAUCUGCAUACAGCUCUGGAGCUCUCAGCACAGGACAGAUGUGGACCUGUUGGUCCAGAGGAGCUACAGAAAUGAUCCGAGGCUGGAACAGCUCUGCUGGGAGGACAGGCUGAUAGAGCUGGGGUGUCCAGCUGCAGAAGAGAGAGACUGGGGAGACCUUACCGUGGCCUUUCCGUACUUAAAAGAGACAGAUAAGAAAGAUGGAGACAGACUGUUUGGCAGGGCCUGUUGCGAUAGGACAAGGGAUGAUGGUUUUAAACUCGAAGAGAUUCAGGCCAGACAUGAGAAAGAAACUUUUUAUAUUGAGGGUGGUGAGAGCCUGGCCGAGGUUGGCCAGAGACGUGGUGGAUGAACCGUCCCUGGAGACAUCCCAGGCCGGGCUGGACGGGGGCUCCGAGCAACCUGAGCUGCUGAAGAUGUCCCUGCUCAUGGCAGGGGGGAUGGACUAGAUGAGCUUUGAAGGUCCCUUCCAACUCAAACUGUUCUAUUAUUCUAUGAUCAUCUCCGUGGACCUCCUUCGGACCCUCUCCCAUCUGUCUGCUUCUUUCAUGAAUUGUAGGGACCAUAACUGGACACAGUACUCCAGGUGCAGCCUGACAAACGAUGAGUAGAAUGAGAUGAUCACAUCUCUUGCUCUCUUAGUAACAUCUCUGCAGAUGCAGCCCAGGAUUCAAUUUGCCUUUGUUGCUGCAGCAGCACACUGCUGACUCAUAUGCAGCUUGUUGUCCACCACCAACCUAUUUUGAACUAUAUAUUUUUUUUCUUUAAUGGAGAUAUGAUUCAUUUGAAUAAAAUUAUAUCCACUUAAUUUUUAUUUUCUUGCAGAGGAGAUUAUUUUUAGCAUUUCUCAACAUUUCAAUGGCGAGGAAUGAUCUAGUAUUGUAGAAUCUCUUUAAUUUCUCCCCAAAAGCUAGAUCAAAGAAAUAUAGCAUUAACAAUGAUUACAUACUUGCCUUAUCCUUUCUCAGAAGAGGACAAACUUAACGUGUUUGUUAAUUUUUCAGGGUCUUGCUAUCACUAAAACACCAAUCUUCUAAGAUAGGAUAGCCUUGUAUUUGCUAUUUUCAGAAGAUAUUAAUUGCAGGACCUGUGAGCUCACAGGAACUCACUGGACACAGCUAGACAUACAUAUCUAGAAGGGAUACAAUACUAUAGCAGUUGUGAUGUUGAGGCAUGAAUGCCUCUAGUGUGGGCAAUCUACUGCCCCCUGUUGGAAGAUUAAAUCUGUUCUGUAGAACCUUUACAGUUAUUGUCUGCGCUAGGUUGGGUACUACUACAAGGUUGUCUUCUCAUACUGCAAAUACACACAGCAGCCUGGACCACAAACUGUGUCUUUGAAUGAACAGAGGGGUUUAAUGGCUCUACUGUGAUAGACAUUGUUUAUAACUGUAAAUUCUCCUUAAGACGUAGAGCCAAUGAGGACUGUUGUCACACAGCUUGAUAGGUGAAACCACAUGACUUCUUCAAAGCGUUCCCAACCUUGACAUUAGAACUUAAGUGGACAACAAAAAACAAUGUAAUUUCUUCCAUAUCCAUAGGUCAAUGGCAAUAAUAAUGUGUUACAAUACUGUUACUGACUUUUUUUUUUGCUGUGUUUUUUAAGCUAAGACAUAUUUUCUCCGUGUUUCCAUAGCCAGUGGCUAUGCAGGCAAAAAUAUGGACUUGGCAUUUUUAAAGUAAACUCUGAUGUACUCAGGCAUUCACUUUUUCUUGCUAGCUGGACUUCAGAAAAUCAGAAAAGACUUUCUUACAUUCAAGAAAAUAAAAAGAUAAUUAGAGAGAAAAAGGUAAAGGAGGAGAUGCAUUGCAUUGUGGUGGAGAGUCUUAUGCAUUAAAUACCUGUUUUUCUCAGGGAAAAUGUGGCUGUGGUAGCUCAAUACCAGAAGGAAUGUCCUGUGGAACGGGUUCAAUAUGUAUCUCCAGAAGCUGAUACAAUGGAACUGGAACGGAGGCCUCCCACAAGCACGGGGUUCACAAGCAGUGUGAGAAGCACUAGCCUAACGCUUCAGCAUAUUUGUAGAGAACGGAGGUUACUUUUAGUGUGUUCAUGUUUAAAUACAGAAGCCAUGCAUCUUCUAUCAAGUGCCUAUCCCUAUGUGAUUUUAGUGUUGUCACAUAAGUAAAAUCUAGCUGUCAAUGUUGUGUUCUGAGUGGUCUGAAUUGAGUCCCUUCCAGAUUAGGCAAGGUAUUAACACACAAAAAAUCUGUAUUUCAGAGAGCUCAGAAUCUGAAAUGUGUUUGAACUAAUGAUGGAGGACAGAAGAAGUGCUGAAAUUACUAGAAGGCUCCUCAAUGUGUUUUCUGUGGUGCAUGUGAAAGAGCAAGACCCACUUUUGGACAAGUUUCUGGAAGGGCGAUGGAGUCAAAUGAAAUUCUGAUGCCUGGUACAAAAGACAGACUCGCUAUAAGUUAAAGCAAUUCUGUAUUCAAGGUGUAAAAAAUCCUGUUCUUGACUUGCAACGGCCUGGGUUGGGUCAUUGAGGCACACAACAGGUAGGUGUUCUUGUGCUCUUGUUGGCAGCAGCUGUCACCCUUGUCACAGUUCUACUUCUUCCCGAUUUGUGGGGGACUGAUACUAGGAAGAUGUCAGGUUCUCGUCUCAGUCACAAAGGAAAGGAGGCUGAAAAAAAGAUUUCUCUCACAUCAUUUGUUUGAUUAUGUUCUCCAUUCUUCAAAGCAGUGGAGCACAAAGCCCAAAUGUGUUUUAUGAAGCACUCUGGAAUCUGCUUGGCUUUAGGCAUGAGCUUAAAAACUUCAGCAAACAAUAAUGGCUUUAUGUCUUUGAUUAGUCUCUAGCAUGUGUUGUACUGAAUCACAUGGCAGCAGUAAUUUAUAUAUUUAAGGUGGUGUAAAUGUCUUUACCAGAAAGCCAUGUUCUCAGUUGCAUUUCUUUAAAUGACAUUGGAGGGAAAUAAAUAAAAUUUUAGUACCUGAUUUAAAAAAAAUGUGCAUUCAGUUUUGAGUUAGUUGUCUUCACUUUGCUCAGCCUUAGAAAUAAGAUUCCCUUUUUGCCAGAAAUCUCUGACAGAGCAAAACACUAAGUCAUGCUCCUAUUUUGAACAUUAGGAGAUCAGACAUCUGUUUCCUUUUUUUAUUCAGGUAAAGACAGGAAAAGCAACACUAACAAAAUGUAUUAACACAGGAUAAUCUCAAUGUCCCCAUUACUUGUGCACUUCACAUAGCUAGGUAAAAAAAAAAAAAAAAAAACGAAAAAACAAACCCACAACAAAACAACCCUAAAAUACCAUUCUCAUUGAGCAGUGUUUGGACUGUCUAGAGACAAUAGAAUGUCUUCUCAACCAUCUGCUGGAACUUACUGGACAAUUCUUUGUGAGUAUAUAAAGUAAUUGGCAGUUGCUUUUUUGAGACAAAUAAGCGCUGUUGGAGUCUGAAUAAAUCAUACACCUGAAAGCUGAUGUGUAUAUGAAUCCAAAUGUGAUUGUUAUGGAGAUAACCAAUCUGUAUCUUACAACUGUACAUUACAGUUAAUAUUCCAAUCAUUGUAUAGUGUUAAGAAAUAACCAUAGCAUUAUUUUUUUUUCAAAUCCAGUAGUCAUCACAAUUGUCAGUGCAAAAAAGUGCAUAAAUAAGCAAAAAUAAAAAUGCAGUUACAAGUAGAUGAGGAAAACAUUUAUAAUUUCUCUGAUUUCCAAAUGAGUAAAACAAUUUUCUCCGUAUAAUUAAAAAUGAGAAAGCAAGGACAAGAAUAUUGAAGUUGUUCUACUAAAAAAAUAUUCUCUCAGCUUGUGUGGUGCCAUAUUUCAGAUUUGUCACCAAAACAAUGUCAAUAAGACACCGAAGCUGUAGCUAUUGCUAGGGUUGGUAGGCUGGGAGUGAGCAAGAUUUUGGGAGGGGACACAUCCAGGCCAGCUGACCUGAAUUGGCUAAAGGGAUAUUCUGUAACCUAUGAUGUCAUGCUCUCUACAGCUGCCUGAAAGGAGGUUGUAGCGUGGAGGGUGUUGGUCUCUUCUCCCAAGGAACAAGCACCAGGAACAGAGGAAACGGCCUCAAGUUGCGCCAGGGGAGGUUGAGGUUGGAUCUGGGGAACAAUUUCUUCCCCAAAGGGCUGUUGGGCAUUGGAACAGGCUGCCCAGGGCAGUGCUGGAGUCACCAUCCCUGGAGGGUUGGACAGAUGGAGAUGAGGUUCUCAGGACAUGGGGCAGUGCCAGGUCUGGGUUAUGGUUGGACUCAACAAUCCUGAGGGGCUCUUCCAACCAGAAUGUUUCUAUGAUUCUAUUCUCGGCAAUAAAACUGGGGAGCUUAGUUUUUCCGAAGUAGCCCUUGCUCAUAGACUGGACAGGCAUCAGUGGGGGGUGAGAUAUUUCAUUGGCAUCAUGUCAUUUUUUUUGUUUAUUUUGUUGAUUUGUUUGUGUCUUUUUGUUUGGCGGUGUUUUUUGUUUGUUUGUUUGUUUGUUUGUUUUUUUGAGACUUAUUGAGCUGGCUUUGUCUCAACCUGCAGGUUUUUCUCCCAUUUGCACUUCCUAUUCUCUUCCCCCAUCCUGCUGUGGGGGAAUGAGUGAGUGAAUGAAGGACUGGGAGUGGGUUCAGCUGCCUCCCCAGUCCUUAACCCACCACAGCCUCCAAGGCCAGUUUUGGAAAUAGAGAAGUUGGUCUGCCUCAGCAGCUGUGGAGUUUUGAAACAGAGAAUGGUCUUGUCUGCCAAAUACUACAGCUCCAUCCAGUUUUCCUAUUUCACUAAUAUCAAAUUCUGUUAAAUAAAUGGCUAUCUAUAAUCCUAAGAAAUGUAAGAAAUCACAUGAAAAUGAGAAAAAAAAACUUAAAAAAUGUAGGAGGUCAUUCUCAUACAGAUAAUACUAACGGCUUUUGCUGCACUGUUUCAUUCUCUAAGUAGCUGUCAAUCACUGUCAUGUUUCUCUGCUAGGUGAGUUUUCUCUGUUUGUAUUUGUCCUUUCAUUUGUUCACUUAUUUCCUUGAGAACUGAACACAGUUUGUACUUUUCCUGCUACUCCACUUGUGGCUGAGAGUACACAAAAAUAAGCUAUUGACAGAACCACAGAGACUCUGAUGGCCUCAUUUUGCUUUGUGAUUGUGCUGUAAAGUCUGUGUGGGAUCAGUGAACCUAGUCAGGGUCAAGUAGAGCCCUUGCUGUAGGUGGAUAAUAAUAUUUACUGGUAUUUGACAUGUUAAGUGAAGCCGACGUAUUACAUAACGCAGAUGAAGUUUUAUUUGGGAACCUAAAAGUUGUAGUACAAGCCUGUGGGACCCCAUGAAUAUACUAUGUGGUGUGGAUGUGGUUGUGCAACAUCCAGCUCGCGUUGGCUGUAGAUAGACUGUGACUUUGCCAUCCACUUAGGCACACAGCUGGUAAGUAUAACUGAAGGAUCUUAUCACUGCCUUAAUCCUCCAUCCACAUUGAUUGCUAUCAUGUCUCAUGCUUACUUGUUACGCUUCCAUCAUAGCAAGGUAGGAACUUUUUUGGUUAUAGGAUUCUGGCUGUAAGUUGGCUCACAUGAUGCCUGCAGGGCUUCAAUACUGCCUGGUAGUAUCAUGGCAGCAUGGUAGGAGAGGAGAUGCUGUUAAUCUGUGGAGCACUAUUACAUUGUCAUGUUUUGACCUGUGCUAGUAACACAACCACGAUAGCUGCUCGCAAACCCUGUCCCCAAAUAGGGGAAAAAAUUGAAAGGGAAGGAAGGAACUUUAAUUGAGAUAAACACAGUUUAAUAAAAUAACAAAAUACUAAUACACUACUAGUAAAUAUAAACAUAUAAUAGAAAUAGUGUAUAGAAUAAAAGGCACUCAGUGCAGUUCCUCAUGAAUUCUGUCCAUGUUGAGCAACCAGUCCCAGGAAGCAGCACCUGGUCCCGAACAGCUGAUCAUGGAGAGAGAAAGGAGGAAAAAGGCAGAAAGGCCCAGAGGCCUCUGCGAAAUGGCAGGAUGGCAAAGACCAAACUAAAGAAAGUCCCGAACAGAACUCCCACAGCUCUGACAAAAACAGCAAAGAAAGCGAAGCGAACAUGAAAGCCACUUGAAGAUCCCAUCUCUCCUUAAAUCAGAAGCAUGACACUUAUGGGCUGGAACACUCUCAUGGGUCAGUCUGGGUGUCCGUCCAUCUCUGUCCGUCCAUCUCCUUCCUUGCUGCCUCACACCCGUGGGCAGAUCUCAGAGUGUCCUUGCCUCUCAGACCAGAGCAAUUAAAACAUUCACUCUGUGCUGGGUGUUACCUCUUGUUCUCAAACUAAGGCCAAAUAAUGACCUUGUCAGCUAUGAAAAAAAAAAAGAUUUCUAACUGCAUGAAGAAAAUGAACUCAUUUUCAGUCAAACCAGCACACACAUAGAGAUCAAUUCUACCUGUUUACGACUUGGAAAUUAUUUUAUGUGUUUUGUAUUUAAAGAAUUAUUAAAACACGUGAAAACCAAGCUGGUGUGGCAACACAUAAUUUUCAUAAUCUCAGCAAAAUAAGACUGUAAAAUCAUUCCUGAUUUGCUUGCAAAUUAGAAGUAAUCCAAAGCAUAUAAGUUUUUAAACAGAACAAUUUCUGUGGCAAAUGUAGCUACUAGAUCAGACACUAGAUCAUUUUGUUUGUCAGUUGAUAUUUAGGUUAUUGAACACUUCUUUUUCUGAACCACAUGGGACAGACACUUGUUGCUCAAUCAGAUCCACUGUACCCUGCCUUGCAUAUUACUGGCUAACUGAAGUAAGCCUGCUAACUAAAAAUUUUACUCUGGACAUAAAAAAAUUUGCUCUCUUUCAUCCUCACUUUCUAUAGGCCAGUUUCUGAUUGAAUUUACCAGGCAUUUCAUUGACAACUUGCAAUCAGCUUCAGUUGUAAAUAUAUUUUAAGGACUGCAUUUUAACUGCAUAUAAUAUAAAACCACCAUAAAAUUAAGAAAACACGUAUAUAAACUCAAAUAUUCCAGUUCUUCUAAAAUGCCUCCUUCUUAUAAUAACAGGACACUUUUAGAAGCCCAUGAAGAAAAGAACUCAGCAACAUGCAUUGAUAGUCACCAGAUCUCAGUUUUUUUUCAAAUCUUAAAUGUUUCCAUAGAAAUGGAAGAUAAAUGCCUUUCAAAUAUUUUUUUUAACAUCCCAUGUUUUCUGCACUACAUUUCAUUCUUCUCAUCAGUUUGCAUGUCAAUGAUCUUAUUCUGCAAGGUACCCUAUGCAACAGUUAAUAAAAAGGUGUCUAAUAAAGUAAAAUUUUAUGUUUGUCACAGGUAACUGUGGUUCAUUUACAGUGGUUAAACAAUUUCUCUUCCUGUAGGGUUAUAAAGUUGGCACGCAACAAAGAAGAACUCUUCUACAAAGUUUGCCAAUGUGUCUGCUGUUUAUAAGAGUACUGGGAAUAUUUUCCAUUCUGAAAUCAACAAUUGAAACAACGAAAUAAUUUUAAGUUACAUUCUUUCUCAACAUGCUCAUUGCACAGUAAUUACUGUAUCAUCACCUGCAACAUCUUGCAGUGCUGAAAACUUAACACCAUUAUCCUAACAAGUUUUCUACAGGAUUUUUCACUCAAGUCAGAUAAAGGACAUGCAGAGUGAUCCUACUAGCUUGUUUCUGAAAAUAACUUCAGCUGUAGCACUAGAUUCUCAUAUUGCUCAGACACACUCCAGUAUUUAAAGAAUUCUCUCCUAAAACAUGUCACUACAACGGCUGAUGUCUCUGGCCAGUCUUAAAUGCAGUCUUUGGUAACAGAAAACCUUUCCAGAAGGUAAGUAUAUAAACUUUCCCUCUCCUCAACUGUUACAAAUAUUUAAACUGCAGUUUCUAAGUAGCAUGAGAAAAGUUUCUUUAAAUGUUCUUUUGAUAAUGUAUCAUCAUUAAACUAAGAUUUCUGAGUACAUUCACAAUGACCUAACUCUUAAACCUUGAAGCUGGUAGAAAUUGUACAGAAACCACGUAGAAAGUGUUCCAUGUACUUCCUGUGAUAGAAAUUAUUUGUACUUGUGGUGGGUUGACCUUGGCUGGCUGUCAGAUGCCCACCCAAGCCACUCUUGCACUCUCCGCACCUCAACAAGACAGGCAGACAAAAUAAGAUGAGAAAGCUCACUGGGUGAGGUAAGAACAGGGAAAUCACCAGUUACUGUCAUGGACAAAGCUUACUCGACCUGGGGAAAACUCAUUUCACAGAAUCACAGAAUGGUUGGGGUUAGAAGGGACCUCUGGAGAUCAUCUAGUCCAACCCACCUGCUAAAGCAGGUUAACCUAGAGUAGAUUGCACAGGAAUGUGUCCAGGUGGGUCUUGAAUGUCUCCAGAGAAGGAGACUCCACAGCCUCUCUUGGUUUACUGUAAGUUAAAAUAGAGUUGGGAAAUUGGAAACAAAAUAUCACCUUCUCCCUCUGCCUUUCUUCAGACUCAGCUUCAGUCCAUUACAGCUCCUCUACCUCCUCCCCAACCCUGGAGAGCACAGGAAGACUGGGAAUGGUGGUUGUAGUCAGUUCAUACAGCUCCUCUCUGCCAACCCUUCCUCCUCACACUUCUCACCUGCUCCAACAUGGUCUCUACAGAGUGCAAGGGUACCUGCUCUGGCUCCUGGAACAUCUGCUUCUUCACUGACCUUGGUGUCUGCAGGGCUCUUCCUCACAAUUUUGUCUCUCACUCUUCUGCCUGUCUGGCAUUUUUGCCCCCACUUAAGUACUUUUUCACAGAGGCACCACCAGCGUCACUGACAGGCAGCUUUGUCUAUGCCUUUUAUUUGAAGGAAAAGGGAGGAAGAAAGCAGAAGGGGAAUUAACUUUCCAGAAGAACUUAUAGCUGGAUGAAGAGAGACCUUUGGUCAGUUUAGAUUUUGAGUUUACCUGAUGCUUCUCAUAACAUCUGUUGUCUUGAAGAGAAAUGGAUCCAGAAAUAUUCCUGAGUGCUUUCCUGAGCCAUGGCCAAAACCUAUACAUAAAUGAAAGAGAGUUUGUUCUAGUUUAUUUUAAAUAUAUUAUUGGGGAAAAAAAAUGGCAAUCACAUUCCAUUAGUUAUCAAGGUAGGCAUUGAACUAAAUACAAAGUCAAAAGAGGAGAUGUCCUCUUGUUUGCAUGCCAGCUUCUUCAGCUCUCACUAGAGGAGACAAUAGAAUUUUCACUAGGACUUUAUCAGCUUUGUUAACUUACCUCUUUUCUGAAAUUCUUAUAAAACAAAGAUCAGCAUAAGAGUGUGAGAUAAUAUCUGUCCUGUACCAAAGUACAGUGAAACUACAAGGAAAUAACCAGGUGAUUAUUAUAGAGCUAAAUGACCAAAUACUCAGAAGGCAGAUACAGUAAAACUGUACAAAUGUAUUGCGGCAUGCUAUGCUGAAAAAAAAAGAUAAAAACAGUCUCAAGUUUCUUUCCCCAUCUGCUUUUGAGAGAGGGGCGUGCACCAGAGAGUACAUGACAUGAAAAUCUAGUAUUUUCUGUUUGUAUGCAAAUUGCAGCAUUUUGGGUAGUUUGGGGGUCUGGGGGAGGUAGUAGUUAAGAUUGUUUUAAUUUCAGACUGGAGAGUAAAUUCCACUCCCUCCUUAAAAAAACAAACAAAACCAACCAACCAAACAAACAAACCACAAAAAAACACAAACAAACAAACAAAAAACAAAACAAAACAAAACACAAACAAAACACAAACGAGCACACCAAAAACAAACAAACAUUACCAACAAAUAAAGAUUUCAAAAGAGAGGAGAAAAAUACAGAGCCUUGUACCCAUACAGCAGACUAUCUGCUUUGGUAUACACUGGCAGUAUGAAGUGAAAAAUUAUCUUUUGACCUCAGCAUAUUUCCUCCACAGUAAGGGGACUGUCUCUGAGGGGUUCAGAACCAACUUAAUAGUGCUAUAUUAAUUCACAUUUUUCACAUUUCAUUUAAACAUGUUAUUGAAUUAUAUUUAAGACAGCAGUUCUCAAAUAAUCUUUGUGGCUGGAUUUGUAACAGCAUUUGCAGUUACACUUCCAGAAACACAAUUUCUAGUUUGGGAACUGGUCGUCUAAGGGAAAUACCAGGUGAUCUGUGUCUUGACACAGAGUUUAGACUCAGAAGAGCACAAGCUUGGUUUUGUAAGCCAGUUCUCAAAACCAUGUGGUACUGCUUUGCUCCAUUUGAGGGCCUGGGACCAUAAUUCUCUGUGGCAAUCUGGAUCUGAACAAAACCACAAAAAUGGCAAAUAUUUCUGAGCUUCAAGUGUAGGCUCAAGAUUUAGAGGUAUAGUACACAUUGCUUUCAGUUAUAUAGAGCAAAAUCGUGUGGUGACUGAGAGAUCAUAGCCAGCAAAGGCAUUAAACUGCUUUCCAACACCCCUUGAACGGUCAUGGUUGGACUCAUGGUUUGGAGACAUCUGAAUCCCAAACUAAUGCCCUAUUUAGGAUUGGAAGGCCAUAUAUCUAUAUCCAUAUCUAUAUUACCAAAAGGUGUAGUGCAAACAGAGAAGAUUUGUAGAAUGACAAAGUUAGUGUUAAGGACCUGAAAGCCUGAUCGUGUGUGUUUCAGGAAGAGGUUACUUCAGACAGGCUAGAGCUGUGAACUGACUGUCUACUAACACUUACAGUGAGUCUCCUGGUUUAAUUUUAUUAACAAGGGUUCCAGUCUGGGAGGUCCAAGAUUGCUCCAUGAUGAAAGCCAAAGUACAGCAAGUGACAAUGACGACCAGAUUGAUUUUAAAAGCACACUCCUGUUUUGAAUUCAAAUGCUAAUCCCUUAUUUUAUUUAGUUAAAGCAUAAAAAGCAGUUAGGUCACUUGCUCACUGAAUCUACAUGUUGGCAAAAUUGAUAUGACCUGAGAACACUAGACCAUCAGAAAUUCCAGCCCUGGAAGGUACAGUAAGCACAUACUGAUCAGAGAAACCUAACCCCUGAAACACUGAAAAGUUCAAAAAUGCCACCAACCACCACAAAUCUUGCAUUAUUCUCUCCCUUAUUUUUGGUUUUCUAAACUUAUGCUAUGUUUGGGGUUUUGUUUGUUUGUUUGUUUGUGGUUUUCUUUUGUUUCAUUUUGCCUUUUCUUUCUCUAGGGACAAUAAUGCAUGUUUGUCAGAAUAGCUUUAAGUGUAUAUUAUUAUUUAGAAAAUAUUUUCUCAAUGCACUGUAUAUGUAAGAGUUGUAUAUUGACAGACGUAUCCCAGAGUUUGCUGUCAGUCUUGUCUGUGCUUGAUUUACCUCUGGCUUUUUCACAAUCCAUUGUAAUGUCAUUAUCACCCUCCCUUAUUCUAUGGCAGUUGGAAUUCAGUCUGUUUUCAGAAUACAUGUAGCAAUUACCUUAGGACUAUGAGUUUACCAUACAGAAACUUCAAUGGAGAAAUGCACACCCUUAGGGACUUUGUAGGGGUUUUUUGGCAAUGUGCUGAGGUGGUUUCUACAAAAAUCCCCAGAACCUUAAAACUAGGCCAGUUUCAUUAAGGGGUCGAGUAAUACUGACGGGUUUCUAGUGGUUGGAAGCCAUCUGAUGCUCUGAGAGAACACUGCAGGUCACAGAAAUGGUUCCUACAUGUUCACCUACAUUGUGUUUUCCAGAGUUAUACUGAGUGUAUAUAAUACACAAUAUACAUGAAAAUCCUUGGAGUGAGAAACCUGUCAGUCAAAUUGUCAUCAUUUUUGUUCUUUAUUCUGCUUUUUGUUGGUUUUGCACUAGAUUGGAGUAAACAUGAUGCAGAAAGCAGCCUCCUUCAGGAACAAGCUUUGUUCUGUUCGAAUCUCCAUUUCAAUGAUAUUCCAGAAAAUGAUGUCUUGUUUACCUAUCUCUGGAUUCUCUAAGUGCCUCAUUUGCACUGUCAAAAAUUGACCUUUCAUGAGCGUACAGUCCAUGGCUUUGAUCUAGAGCUUCCUUGAAGUCCCAGCUUUUAUUAUAAUGUGCUAUUAUUUUGAGGUUUCCCAAUUCGGAGUAUCUGAUACUACAAGUAGCCAAUGUAAACUAGAAAAAGUUCAUGACAAUGACAUUCUAUAGCAUGACACUCAACUGGUAUGUGAGCUAAUGGAACGUGUCAUGAAGACAUGUGCAUAGUCAUUGUGACAGUGCUUGUGUUGGCUUCCUAGAUUGUGGGAAACAAGUUGGUACAGUUUGCACUCCCUUUCUCAGACCUGAGUCAAUUAUAUCCAGGUUCAUUCUGACAGGAUUUAACAAAAUAGUUCCCUCUGCAAAGCAACAGGCAAUGAACAGCAGUCAAGCAUCAUUGACAAUCAGAAGUCUGGGGCUCUGGGAAAAAACAAACAAACAAUCAAACAAGGAACAAAUCAAAAUGACAGGACAGAGUUACCAUUACAUUCAUAAUUUUUAAAUAAAUGUGUUAUCCAAAUAUUUUAUUUUUUUUUUAUUUUUUUUUUUUUUUAACAGCAAUGUUGUCUUUCUAGUCACAGAAAUAUUUCCUGGAAGUUAUGGAAAUGUUUUAAGCAAUUCACUUCUCAUCUCCAUCCAGAAAGUAUUUGAUCAUUAAGUAAGAGCAUAUAAGCAUGCUGUUCCCCAUUUUCUGCACCCUUUUGGUUUUGCUGUAGACAGUUUCAUAGCCCAGGGUUUGGAACAUGUGAUGGAGCCUGUAUGUUACAUUACACUGAACUUCAAUAAGGCUAAAACCACAGUGAUGUUUGUAACACAAAUAUAUUUUUCAACCUAGGUGGGUGGGUCAGUUUUGACAUUACAUUUUUUUUUCUCCUCUCUUUUGGUGUAGCUUGCCAAAUAAUAUCCUCCAGUAAUCUUAUAGCUUUCCUUGUGCUGCCCUAUAGGUGGCAUCUGCCCAUCCUGAACAAGCUUAGCAUAGUUUUUGCCAAGUUUCUUGUCCAAACAUUUCUGCCACAAGUAGGUUGCUCAUUAAGAUUAGUUGCUUUGGGGAAAAUGAGACAGGAGAAGAGAAACUGAGGCUUCUUUCAGGGAGCCAGCUGUAUAGGAAAUACUUACUAUAAAAGAAAAUAAGUAAAAAGUGUCACAAACAAUAAUAGUUGCUUUGCAAUAGGUGUCUUGUUUCCAUCUUCAGCAAAAGUGUAACUACUCAGAUUUCCCUUCUGAUUUGAGAUACUUGUGCUACUUUUCUAAACCAGGUAGACCUGUAUAUACCUGUACAGACCUGUUAAUACCUGUAUUAACAGAAUGAGAAAACAAUAAUUUAACUUACGGUGUAGUUUCUCAAUGGAAGUACUAGAAACAUAAGACAGACAAAUUCUUUGUUCCAGGCACUACAGUUAGAUAUUUGACUCACACAACUCUGUAUUUACUUGACUUUUCUUUCAUAGUAGUUGCUUUAGAAUUAAUGGGGCCUCUUCAUGGUAUCAAGGCUAAACUCUGAGUUUGUGUUGCAACCUUCUACUGGAGAAGAAGACUUGAGCUACUACCAGGAACAUGUUUUUGCUGAGUACAAUGGGCAAAGUCACCUAAGCUCUUAUCUCUGCUCUCAACAGUUCCUCAUAAAAAGAAGCUGUUAUCUUAUUUUAAAAAUCCAAUUUAUUUGUAAACUGAUAAAGAGUGCAAAUUGUCAUUUACAAUGAAGAGUUUUGGAAGGAACUCAGGUUAACAGAUUCUGUAUUAGAUGUCAAUAUUAAGGUCAUCCAAUAAACAUGAAUAGGUACGAACAUUAAUUUACAGGACAUACAUGUUACAGGAAUGGUAGGAAAAUAAAUUUGAAUGGUAAAAGCAUCGCAACCACUCACUAAAUCUGUAAUUUGUCUACUUACAUGAAUUAUUUUAUACAUUCAGCUGUCUCAAGAAAUUAACAGAGGUUGUAUUAGAAAUUUGUCAGUUAAGCUGGCAGAUUCAGUGGCUCAUUAAAUUCAGCCAUGAGGAAGGAAGAAAAUCCGAGAGCACCAGUUAAAAUAGAAAGCCUUUGAAAUGAAUGUCUUAUCUCCAUCCACAGCAAAAUUAGUCAAGGCUUUUCUCCUGAAAACAGGUUGAUAAAACUGUAGUGGAUACCACCCUGCACUGGUAUCAGAUACAUAUAUCAGAUAUAUAUAUCAGAUACAUCGGAUAUAUUGGAUUAGUUGACUUUGACAGAAGUACACAGAUUAAACAAAUAAGCAUCUGGGCCACUUGAGGUACUGAAAUUAAGAUCUUGAGAAAUACACCAACUUAAAUUCACUAAACCAUUUAGAUUAGUAUGGGAUCAGUGUGCUGAUCAGUAUGACUAAAGCUCAGCUUUUCAUAAAAACAUUGUGAGUUGAUACUAGAUAGUUAGACUUAUUUACGAGCUAGUAACCCAACAGAUAUGAUUUUUACCAUUCCCAAUGGAAAAAAAAAAUACUAUUCCGAGUAAAAGCCUCAAGAAGAUUCCAAGACUGAGGAGAAUGAAACCUUCACCAUAUGCAUCAUAAUCUUCCCAGAAAAUACCCCAGUGAUAAUUGCACAUGGUAAACCUCUCCUUCUCAAAACCUUGAGGAAGACCAGAAAUGUCAGCCUUGGGCUACAGAGGAAUGUUGGAAGGUAAACAUAGGGCCAAGGCAAAGCAGUGGGUACUAGGAAUGUCCGUUUCUGUAUAAUAAUUUUCAUUGCAUUAUUCAUGAGGUUUUUCUGUAGCAAGUAGGUAACUUGGGCUAUUAGGCGUUUAAAAGAUUAAUGUGACUAAAACCGGAACUCAGUGUUGCAUAUGCAGUUUUUCUUCAUGCAUACAAUAUUUUGAUUGUCAAGAUCUGAACAUGCUUCCUAGGACUGCAGUUGGGGUGGAAUCUUAGAGUGACUGAGGCCUCUGAAAAGGAGUACAGACCACUGCCCAGUCAAUAUGCAUUUUUUAUGUCCUGUCAGGUAAUCCAACCAAGCCAAGCAACAGGAGCCGCUGCGAUCAGGCUCAUCAUGCAAGACUAACCCCAUGCUAGAAGGGACAUCUUGAUUCAAGGGUUACAGGGUCCAGAUUAGACUUGUGUUUUCCAGGACUACAUUAUUCCAGGGGGCAAUCCAUAACCACAAAGUCUUCUGGCUGUUAAAGAUAUUUCUAGAGUGGGCGAGUUGAGCAGGUGGGACUCUUGUUUUGCACUUUGUACAACCAUUAAACAGUGGAGUCACAAGGCUAGUGAACUUGGUGCUUUGGAAGGUGGUACCUUUUAUUUUUAUGAAGUUUUAGGUCAGUGACACGAUACUUAAUGCCUCAGCACUAGCCUCUUGCUUUUAGGUGAGGUACAUUCUAAUUACGUUUUUAGCCAUUUUCCCAGACUUAUGACAGCACUUCAUAUUCUUAAAUGCAACAGCAUUUGAGUGUGAUCCAUGAUAACUACAUGAUUGUAUGGCAAAAUAAAUAAGAGCUAGCUUCUCAGCAUUGAUAUUAAAGCAGUAUUUUUAAAGCAGUAGCUCAGAACACUACAUCUUACAGUGGUGCUUCUUUAAUGCUCUAGGCCACUACUGCAGAACAGUCUUAUUUUUAUAAGCUUGAUGGAAAGAUUAGGUGUCAAAUUUAAUAAACCUUUUGGCUCUUUUCUAUUAUUCUAUGUCAUGGGUAACCUCUGCUUUGAAGCAGGUGGCAACAAUCCAAAUAUAUAAAGUACCAUAUAUUAUUUGAUAUUAUUUGCAUUGAUUGGCAGGUUUAAGACUAAGCUGUAUUAAUGAAUUUCUGUGUAUGUAAUGUAAGUGGUUCAGACAGACUAGGGUAAAAAUCUUAUUAGUGAAGUAUAAGGAAAUCUGUAUUUGGAUGAACAAAAAUUUCAUUUCUUCUGCACUGAAUGAUUCUAAAAACUGGGUAUGACUCCAGGUUUAAGGAAAACAAUUCAAAUAUUUUUGUUAAUAAUCAAAAGUAUUCAGUUGACCGACUAACCAAUGCCUGUACAUCUGUACAUCAGUUACAUGAGCCCUUUGUGUGAUUACAUUAAAACUGAGCUGCAUAGGAAUCUUUUGUCAGUAAGGUGAUGCUAAUUUUUGUAAAAUAUUUAUUUAUCCAAGACUGAAAUGUCUCAGUGGGAAUGUACUGCCUUUAACUAAACUUGCACAAUGAAA
Long non-coding RNA from Columba livia (rock pigeon), 19424 nucleotides. RefSeq lists it as uncharacterized. The transcript has 2 exons. The record is from RefSeq and is a predicted model, not a curated record. Lineage: Eukaryota; Metazoa; Chordata; Aves; Columbiformes; Columbidae.